This 429-nucleotide ribosomal RNA is filed under the name Gemmatimonadota bacterium. RNAcentral's name for it is "Gemmatimonadetes bacterium partial 16S ribosomal RNA". It matches the Rfam family "Bacterial small subunit ribosomal RNA", at positions 355 to 776 of the family's 1533-position model. Lineage: Bacteria; Pseudomonadati; Gemmatimonadota. The record is from RNAcentral.
UAGGGAAUCUUCGGCAAUGGACGAAAGUCUGACCGAGCAACGCCGCGUGAGUGAAGAAGGUUUUCGGAUCGUAAAACUCUGUUGUUAGAGAAGAACAAGGACGUUAGUAACUGAACGCCCCCUGACGGUAUCUAACCAGAAAGCCACGGCUAACUACGUGCCAGCAGCCGCGGUAAUACGUAGGUGGCAAGCGUUGUCCGGAUUUAUUGGGCGUAAAGCGAGCGCAGGCGGUUUCUUAAGUCUGAUGUGAAAGCCCCCGGCUCAACCGGGGAGGGUUAUUGGAAACUGGGAGACUUGAGUGCAGAAGAGGAGAGUGGACUUCCAUGUGUAGCGGUGAAAUGCGUAGAUAUAUGGAGGAACACCAGUGGCGAAGGCGGCUCUCUGGUCUGUAACUGACGCUGAGGCUCGAAAGCGUGGGGAGCAAACAGG